RNAcentral lists this ribosomal RNA (550 nucleotides) under uncultured bacterium. RNAcentral's name for it is "bacterial SSU rRNA". It matches the Rfam family "Bacterial small subunit ribosomal RNA", at positions 355 to 896 of the family's 1533-position model. The record is from RNAcentral.
UAGGGAAUCUUCCACAAUGGACGCAAGUCUGAUGGAGCAACGCCGCGUGAGUGAAGAAGGGUUUCGGCUCGUAAAGCUCUGUUGGUAGUGAAGAAAGAUAGAGGUAGUAACUGGCCUUUAUUUGACGGUAAUUACUUAGAAAGUCACGGCUAACUACGUGCCAGCAGCCGCGGUAAUACGUAGGUGGCAAGCGUUGCCCGGAUUUAUUGGGCGUAAAGCGAGUGCAGGCGGUUCAAUAAGUCUGAUGUGAAAGCCUUCGGCUCAACCGGAGAAUUGCAUCAGAAACUGUUGAACUUGAGUGCAGAAGAGGAGAGUGGAACUCCAUGUGUAGCGGUGGAAUGCGUAGAUAUAUGGAAGAACACCAGUGGCGAAGGCGGCUCUCUGGUCUGCAACUGACGCUGAGGCUCGAAAGCAUGGGUAGCGAACAGGAUUAGAUACCCUGGUAGUCCAUGCCGUAAACGAUGAGUGCUAAGUGUUGGGAGGUUUCCGCCUCUCAGUGCUGCAGCUAACGCAUUAAGCACUCCGCCUGGGGAGUACGACCGCAAGGUUG